GGGGGUGUAGCUCAGAUGGUUAGAGCACCGGCCUGUCACGCCGGGGGUCGCGAGUUCGAGUCUCGUCACUCCCG
Molecule: transfer RNA, 74 nt
Organism: Ilyobacter polytropus DSM 2926
Lineage: Bacteria; Fusobacteriati; Fusobacteriota; Fusobacteriia; Fusobacteriales; Fusobacteriaceae
Rfam family: tRNA
About the family: Transfer RNA (tRNA) molecules are approximately 80 nucleotides in length. Their secondary structure includes four short double-helical elements and three loops (D, anti-codon, and T loops). Further hydrogen bonds mediate the characteristic L-shaped molecular structure. tRNAs have two regions of fundamental functional importance: the anti-codon, which is responsible for specific mRNA codon recognition, and the 3' end, to which the tRNAs corresponding amino acid is attached (by aminoacyl-tRNA synthetases). tRNAs cope with the degeneracy of the genetic code in two manners: having more than one tRNA (with a specific anti-codon) for a particular amino acid; and 'wobble' base-pairing, i.e. permitting non-standard base-pairing at the 3rd anti-codon position.
Source: Rfam